Molecule: ribosomal RNA, 348 nt
Filed under: Neotermes jouteli
Lineage: Eukaryota; Metazoa; Arthropoda; Insecta; Blattodea; Kalotermitidae
Description: partial large subunit ribosomal RNA
Source: RNAcentral
AACAUCUCUUCUUGUUGUGUAAUUUGAAGUAUGGCCUGCCCACUGAUAAUUUGAAGGGCCGCGGUAUUUUGACCGUGCAAAGGUAGCAUAAUCAUUAGUUCUUUAAUUGUGAGCUGGUAUGAAUGGUUUGACGAGGUGCCAUCUGUCUUUAUUUUUAAUUUUGGUUGAAUUUGGUGUUUGAGUAAAAAUACUCAUAUUUUAUUAUGGGACGAGAAGACCCUAUAGAGUUUUAUAUGAUUUUCCUCUUUUUUGUUUGUUUAUGGUUUUGGGGGUAUUAAUAUUUUGUUGGGGUGAUGAGAGGGUAAAUUUAACCACUCUUUUUUUUGUUUCACUUGUUUGUGUACAUUU